This is a long non-coding RNA of Capsicum annuum, 587 nucleotides long. RefSeq lists it as uncharacterized. The record is from RefSeq and is a predicted model, not a curated record. NCBI's taxonomy places the organism in Eukaryota, Viridiplantae, Streptophyta, Magnoliopsida, Solanales, Solanaceae. The transcript has 2 exons.
GUAAAACAUUGAUCCGAGUCCACAAUAUUGACCCGGCCCAUACGUGGGAUAUGAAAGGUUUCUAAAAGCUAAAACAUAAGGCAUUUCUUUGUUGAAGUACACAGUACUCUUUAGCAUCCCUCUCCGGCAUCUUCUCUCUCCGGAAUGAAUGUUGAAUUUGUGUUGUACCUGUUGUGCGCCUCUCGUCAUCAUGCUCUUUCUCAUCUGGAUCAUAUGAUUUCGCUAGGUUCAAGAAAGGUCGUGGAAAGACUAGAGGGAAAGGACUUGAAAAUAUGAAGAAGGUUAUGGGAAGCAAGAUGAAAAUAGAGAUCCCGAUUGGUAAAGGAAGGCCAACUAAGCCAAUUCAAUCAGCCAAACUAUCCAAUGAAUUAGGGAUAAUUGCUUGAAAUUUUCUUCCACUUCCAAACAAAUGGAAGGAACUUACAAGAAAGGACAAAGAUGCAACACUAAUUAGAUGCCACAAAAGUAUUCUGCAUUUAUGCUAUUCUUAAAUUAAUCGAAUAUCACAUUACCUAUUUAUUUAGUUAAACCAACUUCAGUUGGCAUUCGUUUUAAUUACAAUAUGUCAAUAAAAUAAUAUUUACAUA